ACCUAGUGCACAAAGCUUAAAACCACGUCGUUUUUGCACAGACGACUCUUAAGGCGCCAAUAUACUCCGACGUAGCGUCGGCGAGCAUUGAAACACUAUACUCCGGCGUCCCCGAGACGCAGCGGCGCCCGGCGCCGCCGGCUUGCCUCCGCGGGGUCGGCGCGGAGAUAGAACUUGUUCUAUUCCAGGCCGUGCUAGGUCGGUAGUCGCUAGACCAGAGUGCAUUGCGUUUCAUCAUGGCGGCCUCCGGCGAACCCGGCGAUCAAGUGCAAGCAUUGUCUGCAGAUGUUGUCGAAAAGUUAAUAGAGGCAGUUCGGCAACAUCCUUGCGUUUACGAUACAAAGCGCAUGGAGUAUCGCGACCAGAUGAGAAAAAACAACGCCUGGGAAAUCAUCAGGUCGUCAUGCGGACUUCGCACAGCGGAUGAGUGUCAGAAAAUAUGGAAAAGGCUGCGAGAUCGCUACAGUCAAGAGCAGAAGGCGGUUGAGGUAACACAGGACAGUGUCCAACCUGGAGGCACCAGGACCGAGUUGUAACGGACCAGACGAACACACGAAUACAGUACAGCCGACGGCAGCAUUUAUCCUGAACUCAAUCGUACGUGGCGAAGCAUCGCAUACACCGCCACCCCUAAUGGACUCCGCGCCAUCAGAUACAGAAGCUCUACCAACGUCAUCACGACCUGUUGAAACAUUUCCAACAACAGUGGAGCGGGAAGGAACUUCGCAGCACCAAAGGAAAAGAAGAAGUAACACAGAGGCAUUCGAGGAGCAGCUGCACUGUAAAAAAACUACCGUAAAAUUUACGUAUAUUUAAUGGCAGCUAUGUUGCCGGGCUUUUCCCGUUAAAAUUACGGCCACUUCGGAAGAAGUACUGCCGUUAAAUUUACAGUAAUUUUGAUGUAACCAGAAUGCUGUUUUUUUUUCGUGAAAAUUACGGUGUCUUACAAAAAUGCAGCCGUAAAAUUUGCAGGGAUUUUAAUGGCAGCUAUGUUGCCGGCUCUUUCCCGUAAUUCUCACGGCCACCUGAGAGAGUCGGCUUUUGUUUGAAGUCCGGAGUGCAUUAAUUCCCACAAAUUUGGGAACAGCACCGAAGGAUGUGUAAUUGUGUUUGUCUUCCUUUAAUGGAAUUGCAAGUCAUGCAGUAAUGUGUGACACAAGUCACAGAGUAGAGGACCGAGCAUUUAUUGUACAUACAGAGAAAUGGUGAAAAAUCUGUGAUGUCUGUUGAAUCUGCAGCGAUAAAAAAAAAACAUCUUAGAGUUGCAGAGUAUAUUAAGUAUAUCUGGUUAACAAGUAAAACGUUCCCUUACACUUGUGCUGUUUUCGAAACAAUCCCCAGAACUUCUUCAUAGGUUCUGGGUCUGUUCUUCAGCUUGCUGCCCCUGCAGGGCUGAUGCACAGUAUACUCCUGCAAGAAAGAAAAUGCAGGAUAUGUAGUACGACAGUUACUACCAUUCGAAUGCAGGUCCACAUGCACACACCUCUGCACAUUACACAUUCAGUAUGGUGGCACUAGUACAGACACCUUUAUGGUGCUGGCUGAAUACUUUCCAAUACAAGCGAAGAAAUAUCUUAAGGUCUUAUACUGGUCAUAAAGACCUUCACUCAUACUGGGAUAGUACAUAUAUCGAUGAUUUCAUGUGGAGUGACUGUGUAAAGACGCAAUGAUCUUACAGUGUUUGUCAUUAUAGAUGUGGCCUAAAAUUGUUGAAACGAAGAAUAUCUUUGGUUAUGAAAUAAGCACGCUUCACUCGUAUAAUCACAAAUGUCACUGAGAUUAUUCGAGGAAAUACAUGCCAAGCAAUUCAACAGGUAGUUCCAAUCACAAAAUACGUUUUAAAUGAAAGAAUCAGCAAUGCCAUCAGUGAAGCAAGUACACAUUUUUACUUUUGAUGACUAGUGACACGGGUGAUGUAUGCAGGAAUGAGAUGGUUAGUUUAUGGAAAAUCACUGCACUAAUCUCACCAUGCACCAGAGAAUUGCGCGCUUGUGUUUUGUUAUAAAAUAUGUACCACAUAAAUUCGCUGCACCCUAACGUCCUUCAUACUGACACAUGUACGUCCCGCACCUGUACUACUCUUUACCGAAAAAAAAGGGGGAGAGAAAGCACACAAUUUCCAUGUUGAAUCUAACACUGAUUUCUUUGUUCCGCACACAAAUCAUGAUUGGAGCUACCUCCCCGUUUGCCUCGUAUCCAUUCUACCCCCUAAUCAUUUUGAAAUAGCAUACUGCAAUUAUGUCGCACCAGUAUAACAUUUUGUGAUCAAAGUGGGCUUUCUGUACCACUCAGUUUUUGGACUAUAGUCAUAACAAAGAAACAACUUUGUAAUGCUUCUUGCAUUCUGGAUGAAUAAAUACUCUGGAGAGCAGAGCACAGCA
Molecule: long non-coding RNA, 2381 nt
Organism: Ornithodoros turicata
Lineage: Eukaryota; Metazoa; Arthropoda; Arachnida; Ixodida; Argasidae
Exons: 3
Source: RefSeq, a predicted model, not a curated record